This 473-nucleotide ribosomal RNA is filed under the name Escherichia coli. RNAcentral describes it as "bacterial SSU rRNA". It matches the Rfam family "Bacterial small subunit ribosomal RNA", at positions 1 to 470 of the family's 1533-position model. RNAcentral also lists the same sequence under 5 other names. The record is from RNAcentral. Lineage: Bacteria; Pseudomonadati; Pseudomonadota; Gammaproteobacteria; Enterobacterales; Enterobacteriaceae.
AAAUUGAAGAGUUUGAUCAUGGCUCAGAUUGAACGCUGGCGGCAGGCCUAACACAUGCAAGUCGAACGGUAACAGGAAACAGCUUGCUGUUUCGCUGACGAGUGGCGGACGGGUGAGUAAUGUCUGGGAAACUGCCCGAUGGAGGGGGAUAACUACUGGAAACGGUAGCUAAUACCGCAUAACGUCGCAAGACCAAAGAGGGGGACCUUCGGGCCUCUUGCUAUCGGAUGUGCCCAGAUGGGAUUAGCUAGUAGGUGGGGUAACGGCUCACCUAGGCGACGAUCCCUAGCUGGUCUGAGAGGAUGACCAGCCACACUGGAACUGAGACACGGUCCAGACUCCUACGGGAGGCAGCAGUGGGGAAUAUUGCACAAUGGGCGCAAGCCUGAUGCAGCCAUGCCGCGUGUAUGAAGAAGGCCUUCGGGUUGUAAAGUACUUUCAGCGGGGAGGAAGGGAGUAAAGUUAAUACCUUU